UUUAACUUUUAACAUUUGUGUAUAUCAUUCCAUUAUGAAGAUGCAUGCACUUCCUGAUAGGCUAGAUGUAGCAUUACUUUAUUAUGGGACUUCCAUGAUAUCAGAGAAAUGUUCUUUUCAUCAAUCUAAUUACUAAAUUUUCAGCAUGUAAAAUAAGGACUAUCCUUAAUAUCAGUACUCUCAAAAUCAUAUUGACGAGAUUAGCUUCAGGAAAAUCAUCCAAAACAUCCCUCUUCAACAAGAUAUUAUCUACAGCAGCCACUGAUUAAAAUUUGUUUGUCUUAAAUAGCCUUCCUCCAGUAAUCGACAUUAAUGGGAGGUUGUAUCUCCUAUGAUCGUUUGCCAUUAAAAUAAGGUAUAUUCUUGCUCUGAUACCAAUUGAUGCAACGGAAAACAACCAACUAACCCAUAAAUUACUAAUUCUUCAAUAAUUUUUCUUGAUCAAACAUCACUUUCUUUUGCCACUAGUACUACGGUCUAGCAGUAUUCCUCUUCACUUGAGAAGUCUUAGGUUUGAUUCCCGCCAGAGAUGAAUUAGAACUAUUUUAUUACUAAAUCAUUGUGAGAUUAAACCCACACCUCCUCUCCUCUUAGUGUAGAUAAUAUUGUUUGUUUAAUCAU
Molecule: long non-coding RNA, 621 nt
Filed under: Malus domestica (apple)
Lineage: Eukaryota; Viridiplantae; Streptophyta; Magnoliopsida; Rosales; Rosaceae
Description: long non-coding RNA (MDOM_LNC011543)
Source: RNAcentral